AUUUUAAAAUAUUUGUCCAAACUGAGCAUUUGAAAACAUGUAUACGUAUUCGCCAGUAGCUGAGUGUGCAGAAAAGUGUGCUACUAUUUGGUAGCUUUUAAGAGGUCCCAGGUUCGCAUUCCGUCAGAAGCAACACAUUAAAAUUAGUCAUUCAAGUUGAAAUAAUUGCUGAAUCUUAAAUUUGUGUUUUGUCAAUGUUAUUUUG
Molecule: long non-coding RNA, 205 nt
Organism: Rhagoletis zephyria (snowberry fruit fly)
Lineage: Eukaryota; Metazoa; Arthropoda; Insecta; Diptera; Tephritidae
Source: RefSeq, a predicted model, not a curated record